AUGCCCCUGGACUUCACCAAGCACUUCCCGGCGGUGCCGCAAGAGUUCAAGCUAAGGACCAACACUGGUUGCUCAUGGAAGGUGACUGUUCGGUUGAUGGACGGCAGGGUGACCCUCGAUCAGGGUUGGGCCACCUUUGCCGUUGUCCAUCAAAUCAGGAUCGACUACAUGGUGAAGUUCAAGCUGCUCACUCUCGACACGCUCAAGGUCACCGUCUUCAACGACAAAGGCAUUGAAGUGGUGACCAAGUGUGGCAAGCACAAUGAUGCCUUCACCAUGAAUGUCUAG
This 288-nucleotide ribosomal RNA is filed under the name Triticum aestivum (bread wheat). RNAcentral's name for it is "partial small subunit ribosomal RNA". Lineage: Eukaryota; Viridiplantae; Streptophyta; Magnoliopsida; Poales; Poaceae. The record is from RNAcentral.